This 424-nucleotide ribosomal RNA is filed under the name uncultured bacterium. RNAcentral describes it as "bacterial SSU rRNA". It matches the Rfam family "Bacterial small subunit ribosomal RNA", at positions 358 to 774 of the family's 1533-position model. The record is from RNAcentral.
GGAAUAUUGGACAAUGGGGGCAACCCUGAUCCAGCAAUGCCAUGUGUGUGAAGAAGGCCUUCGGGUUGUAAAGCACUUUAGUUGGGGAAGAAGGUAUGUAGGUUAAUACCCUAUGUACUUGACAUUACCCAAAGAAUAAGCACCGGCUAACUCUGUGCCAGCAGCCGCGGUAAUACAGAGGGUGCAAGCGUUAAUCGGAAUUACUGGGCGUAAAGGGCUCGUAGGUGGUUAGAUAAGUCAGAUGUGAAAUCCCUGGGCUCAACCUAGGAAUUGCAUUUGAUACUGUGUAGCUAGAGUAUGAUAGAGGGAAGUGGAAUUUCUGGUGUAGCGGUGAAAUGCGUAGAUAUCAGAAGGAACAUCAGUGGCGAAGGCGACUUCCUGGAUUAAUACUGACACUGAGGAGCGAAAGCGUGGGGAUCAAACA